GUACCCUCCAGCCCUGCUGGGUAUUGGGCGUUUUGUUCCGCUACGCGCGUGAACUCGCCUCAAAUGCAUUGGCAGCCCGCCGUCCCGUGUGGGAGCGCAGCACAUUUUGCGCUCUCCGCUGCUGACGGUGGCAUCCACAAGUCUACCAUUUUGC
Molecule: unclassified non-coding RNA, 154 nt
Filed under: uncultured Pleosporales
Lineage: Eukaryota; Fungi; Ascomycota; Dothideomycetes; Pleosporales
Description: sequence contains ITS2
Source: RNAcentral